CAACCUUGUCCCCACUGAAGGACCCCACGAAUCCCCACGCCCCGACGGCUGUGGAGAGUGGGGGGAGACUUUGCCGACAGCAUCCCCCCACCCGUGCUGGCUGCUCUCCCCCACCCCCACCCCGCCAUGUAAACACGAGGACUUUCUCGAGAGCUUUGGAGAGCCGCUCUAGUGGCUUCGGGGCCUGAAACCCCAGGCUUGGCUUGUUUGAUGUUUAGCAUCCCAAAGCGGUUCCCCACCCCCGCCCCAGCCUGGGAAGCUGGAGCCGCGGGCCGGGAAGGAGGCAAGCUGGGGUCCUCCGGGCCAGGAGGCAGGUGGGGGCAGCGAGAGGACUUCAGCUGCACGGGAGAGGGGUUGGCCGGGGCAGCAGCAGCUUAGGGCCCGCGAGUGAAAUCCGAGCCAGGCCGGGGCCGACUGGGCGAGACGCGCUCUGGGUACCGCUCCUGCAGGCGAGGGCGGCCCGGCGCGCUCGGGUCGGGAGCGCCUCCCGGCAGGAGGCAGCCCUUCCGCUCAGCGCUUCAGGUUUGGCCUUUCCGAGGGAAUGAGUUGCCCGGGAACCUCACUGGGGCUCUUGAAUCCUCCUGGGUCAGGGCUGGGGAGCUCUGUUGACCCCGUCUGGGCCUGGCAUCGCAGCCUUGGAUUUGGAGAGCCCGGGGAAGAAUUCUCCGACUUGGAGCGCGCUUGCCGCGUCUGGGCGUCGGCGAGGGGGCUACCUCGAGGCGCGAGCUCACAGAAGGUAGCGCAAGUCUCUUCCCAGGCGAUCGGAGAUAAGAGGAAAUGAGAGCGGGGUUUUCUGACUUCCAACUCAUUAGGGACCAGGAUCCGGCACAGAGACUGACUGAAUGGCUCCAAUUAUCAGGACUUGAAAACCAGAUGUCAGAAUCCAGCUUAUAUGAGGCUGCCCUGAGCAGCUCUUUAGCAACAUCGCACUUGCAUAACAUGGGAUCAUCUUUUCUUCUUCAUUUCUCCUUGACCUUGUACAAAAUAUGAUACAAAAUUAUUUUUCAUAUUUUUUAAGUCUGUGGCCUGGGAAAUCUUGCAGGAAACCUAAGAACUGCGAAGAGUCCCUGCAAACUGUGUCCAGUGUCACACAGUGUUCAAAGAGGAUGAUAUAGAUCUGACCACUGCGUGCAAGAACUUUAUCACCUGAAGAAGACAUUUGGAGGCAGCCGUGCAGGCUGAAGAUUUAACAAGUGCAGACAAGAGCUGUAGAAACUUCCGCCAUGGAUGGACCUCUGGAUGAGAGCUUAAUAAUACGUGGCUGCCCUCAGAAAGGUGUCUGGCCGCCCUGAUACCAGAGGAGAGCCCAUCUAGACCACGGGGACAAACCCAUCUUUGCUUCGUUCCCACCAAAGAUCAAAGUAACAUUGCUAACAACAGCACAUGCUUUGUUUCCAUUCACCACCAUCUCGGAGAUCUUACGCUGGUGUCUUCUGGGCCUCAAAGUCCAGGCCCUGGAACUCUUCCAGAUAUUAUUUUCACGAAAGUGGAACAUCUGUGUUAUGACUUCCAUUGGGUGACUUAUUUUGCACUUGCUUACCUUGUAUCUAGAAACAUUUCUCAUGUUUUUUUUUUUUAUUGUUCAAACGGUCUGCGGCUUAUACCAUUCAUGCUCAAGUUCACUCAUUCAUUUUUUCAUUCACUGACACAUCCACUGAUUCAUUCAUUGACUGAAUCGGAACAGAGACUCUGUCAUAGCCUCCAGUGAUUCCCACUUCCCUGUGUUCACCUCCUAGGCAGGGUGGGCCUGUGACUUGCUUAUAACCCACAGAAUGUGGCAGAAAUGAUAGGCUGCCCUUGUGUGGUUGUAUUAUGUAAUAUAAGACUGGGUCUUGCUGGCAGGCUCCCCAUGGAAAAUCCCUCUCUGGCUUGAGAAAGGAAUGACCAUGAUGGGAGAACCCGCAUGGUGUAGAACUUCAGGAAGCCUGCAUCCUUGGUCUCCGAGCCACAAGGGAAUGAAUCCUGCCAGGGAUCUGAGUGAGCUUGCAAGGGGAUUCUUUGGCAGUUGAGCGGCCACAUGAGAACACAACCCAGGCAACACCUUCAUGGCAGCCUUGCAAGAUCCUGAGUCAAGCCUAGGUUAGGUCAAGCCCUGAGCUGUGAAAACUGACAAAAUCAAUGGUUGUUUAAAGCCACUCAGAAUGUGGCAAUCUAUCAUGCAGAAAUAAAAAACAAACACACUGCUCUAUGCUAACCACAAUAUAUGCAUUAUCUCAGUGCUGGAGAUAAGCUCACAAGCCUGCUGCUAAUAUCAUCCUCAUUUUACAGGUAAAGAAACUGAGGCUCAGGAGUUAAAUUCCAGAAUGUUCUGUCAUCAAUCACUGUACUAUCAUGCAUGUUUUAUUUUAAUGUAUUUUCUUAUUUGAUGGAUUCAAAUUUAUUGUGGUUUAAAAUAAGCCUCCUGAAACAAACAAAAAAAUACAUUUAGAAAAAGUCCUACUUGGUAAACUUUGUACACAAGGUAGAUGUGUUUGUAAAUUCAACAUUAUAAGGAACUUCCUGUAACAUUUUUGCUCUUUUAUUAGAUAUUGUAUAAAGAUAACAUUAGACACAUGAAUAGGGAGGUUUCUUUUUUGUUGUUGAAUGUGGUGGACUCUGAGGUAUUUAUAGGAGAGAACAAUUAUAAUGGUAUAAAUUCCAAAUACUUGGAAAAUUACCUGGAACAUUAAUAAUCGAUUAAACAUUGGUUAGAAUGUACUGGAGCUUGGCUGCUGUCUUUAUGCUGUAGGACUGAAACAUUUCCUUGGUGUCUCAACUUUCCCACUUCUGAUCAAGUUCAGGGAAAAUUAGGAAGUGGAGAGAUUUAGAAAUGUUGUUGACCACUGGAGUCCUGUUUGGCUCAGUGUUCUGAAGAGCUAAGGGAGGUUUGUGACCCUGAACCACGUCUUUGAAUGAGAGUCCUUUCCAUUUGGCAUUUAUCAGAUGUUAAUUAUUCAUACUGCGUGAUUGAGGAUUUGGGAGUCAGAGAUUCACCUGCAAUAUUUGGAAUACCAGUGGAGGUCUACAUCAGCACAGAAUUUAUACAGCAGCUGGCGCUAGUCAAAGCUAAUGAUGGAAUUUCAGUUUAAUAAAAAGACCCCCAACUGAGCACACCUUCUUGAAAAAAGUAUACUUACCCAACAGCUUUCAAUCAGUUCAAGAGAGACAUCUUAAUUGGGAAGAGGAAGAAUUGCAGAGUAGUUUGUCAUCGUGCCAAUUUCAGAUCAAUAACUGCAUGUCUGCUCUUUGGCAGACAUAGGAUUUGCUUUAUAUUAAGUAACCACCUCUACAUCCUCCCCAUUUGGAUAAGGAGAUUUUUGUUUCACUUGACAAUGUUUAAUAAUGUCCUCUUUUAAUUCACCUCUGUGUCUUUAUAAUAAACUCAAGUAAGAGUCAGACACUAUAAAGGUUAAUAUUUUCAUUUUCAAAAAAUAAACCUGUUUAUUCUAACAGGAAAACAAUACUUAUAAUUUUAUUUCCAUACAUUUUUGAAAUAAAAUUACAUAAGCAAAAUUCAAUUAUGGUGGCUUAAUUAUAAGAAUAGAAUAUUGGACAAUGACAGUCUGAAUUAUAUAAAAUGAUUUGUAGAGUAAUCUAGAAACAAUGAGAACGUUUUCCUUUUUGUAAGAAGGUUUUCGAACACUAAAAGGAUGUGACUCAGUCAUCUAAGUCCUAGUUCCCUUAUUUUUACAAGAAGAUAGUCAUUCAAAUUAGUGGUGGGUUAGGGGCGCCGUCGGCAGCCAGGCAGGUGGAGGGGCAGGGAAUGGUGGAGCAGCAGCAGUGUGUGGAGAUGGAGGCACAGCCCUGGCCGAAGCCUCUGCUGUUCCUUUCUCACUUCGACCAGGGGGCAUCCACCCUUCCUCCCUCCCUCUCUCCCUCCCUCCCUUUUAGUCUGUGUCAAUUAUGUAGAUAUAAAUUUAAAUAUAAAAAUACUGAGCUGCUACAGGAGUUUCUUUGUGAAAAACAGGGUUUCACCACAAAAAUACAAUUUGAAAAUCAUUGGACUACACAAUUGUAAGUUCUCCUCCUUCCAUGCUUUGACUGCUAUCAGAAUUUCAUUUCAAAAAAUGGCAAGGGUGAUUGGAAAUCUUCUAGCACCCAUAGCAAAUAUCCGUGCUGCGUGAAUUGUAGUUCUGCUAAGAAGUCAGGCUAUGGGUGAAGCAGCACCUUGCAGAGGCUUCUGAUACAAGGGACUCAGACUAAUGGGUCCGGGUGUUUGGAUUUUUUGGUGUCUUUUAAGAACAACUAUGUGGAACAGAGCCACACUCAUAUAGACACUUAAUGUAGGGUCAGAAUUGUGGCUUCAUUUUGAAAUUUUAAAAUUCAAAGCCUUUUGCAUUUAGAGAUUCAUAUACUGUUAGAGCUGAGAUAAUUUUUAUAUAUUCACUGAUUCAUUAAAUCAGUAAGUUCUUGCUGAAUUUGGGUUUGCACCUAACCACUAUACUUAGGGGGCUGAAGUUACAGUAUUUUUUCUAUUCACAUAAAUAUUAUGCUUUAGGGCAAGAGACAGGCAAUUAGAUAAAUAAUCAUACACAUAGCAUAUAAUUACAAAUUUUUGUAAAUGCUAUUAAGCAACAGACCAGGGUUCUUUGAGACAGUAUGCCCGAGAGUACAAGAGGACGCUGGGCUGCAGAGAGUGAAAAAACUUGCCUCAAGUUGUAUAGCAUACAUUGCAGGGGCUGGCACUAGACUUUUUUGCUUCUACUCAAACUCACCAGUAUGGCUGUGAAAGUUUAGGGUAAUAGCGAGGGCUAACUCAUGGGGCUCAGAAGUCUAUGACUGGAUUUGGUGCUAUGGCAUAGCAGGUAAAGCCACUGCCUGCAGAGCCAGCAUCCCAUAUGGGUGCCGGUUCAAGUCCCGGCUGCUCCACUUCCAAUUCAGCUCUCUGCUAUGGCUUGGGAAAGCAGCAGAGGAUGGUCCAAGUGGGAGACCCAGAAGAAGCUCCUGGCUUCAGGCUUCUGGUUUCAGAUUGGCCCAGACUCCAGCUGUUGCAGCCAUCUGGGGAGUGAACCAGUGGAUGGAAGAUCUCUCUCAGUCUCUGCCACUCCCUCUGUAACUCUGCCUUUCAAAUAAAUACAUCUUAAAAAAAAGAAGUCUAUGAGCCCCUCUCCUGGCUUCACUACUUUGAAAGGUUGAGCAGCCUUGAGAGAUACCCAGAUUUUUGCACUAAGAAAGCAAGCUUUACAUUUUUUGAAAAUUGUCUUCUUUGAUAAGGGGCUUUGUGCUUACAAUGCAGUUGACUAGAGGUUAGAAAUGAUUUGCAGGGAUAAGAAAGCCCACGAUUAAAGAAAAGUAACACCUUAGUGGCUGUAGCAAGCUUACUAUGGAUUAGGAAAAAAACACAGGGUGCAGUCAGGCUCAACAGCUUUCUGAAGUCUGUUUUGCUGAAGUGCUUUUGUUUUUUGGUCCAGCCCAGAAUGCACAAUAAUUUCUAUGACAAACUUUUGCCCAGGUAAGUUUGCCAGGCCUGCCAGUUAGAAGAAAACCCAAGUUAAACCAUCGUUAUUGAAAUUAAUGGGUAACAAACUACAACGAAGCUGUUCUCCCACUUGCAAACUGAGCCAGCUGGCAUAGCUUUCAGCUAUGCCAUUAACAAGGGGUUUGAGGUUAUUUUCUCCUGCAAGAACCGGAGGAGUAGGAGUAGAGUGGGUUUGAUUGAUUGCAGGUCCACAUGCCUAGAAGAGCCAACAAGCACACAGCCACAUGCGUGUGUUCCGUGAACUUGAAUAAGCCUCAUCUGCCCACGUGGGCGUCCUCUGUUUUUGGGAAGCAACUGCCAUCAGUGGAAAGUGCUGAGUCCCCCAUAGGGUCCCGUGGGAAAAAUGUUUGACCUCCCUUAAUCUAAAACCUAAGUCACAAGUCAACUGGCACCCAUUCAGAUUCUGUUUUUUGUUUUAAAUAAUCAGAUUUGCAUUUUUAUUAUAUUUAGGAAUCAUCUCUGCAUAGCCUCUAUCUACAAAUCUUUGCAUUGAUGAAUAAAUACAAUAACAUACAUGUUGCAUUUAAAAAUAUUUUUGUAGUUAUUGUGAAUGACAUUUCUUUCUUUUUAAGAUUUUAUUUAUUUAUUUGAAGAGUAGAGUUAUAGACAGAGACAAGGAGAGACAAAGGUCCUCUAUCCAACUGGCCGCAAUGGCCAGAGCUGCGCUGAUCUGAUCCAAAACCAGGAGCCAGGGUCUCCCACGCAGGUGCAGGGGCCGAAGCACUUGAAGCAUCUUUCACUGCUUUCUCAGGCCACAGCAGAGGGCUGGAUUGGAAAAGGAGCAACUGGGACAUGAACUGGUGCCCAUAUGGGAUGCUGGCACUGCAGGCAGUGGCUUUACCUGCUAUGCCACAGCACCAACCCCACUCAUAGACUUUUGAGCCCAUGACUUAGCCAGGUGGAGGCUUAGCCUACUGUGCCACAGUGCUGGCCUCAUUGGAUAUAUAUAUAUAUAUAUAUAUUUUAAGAUUUAUUUUGUUUAUUUGAAAGGCAGAGUUACAGACAGAGAGAGGGAGAGACAGAUAUGGAGGUCUUCUACCCGCUAGUUCACUCCCCAAAUCGCCAUAAAGGCUGGGGCUGGGCCAGGAUGAAGCCAGGAACCAGGAGCUUCUUCUGGUCUCCCACAUGAGUGCAGGGGCCCAAGCACUUGGGCCAUCUUCCACUGCUUUUCCAGGCCAUAGCAGAGAGCUGGAUUGAAGGUGGAGCAGCCAGACUCAAGCCAGUUCCCAUAUAGGAUGCUGUUGCCGCAGGUGGAGGCUUAACUUUCUAUGCCACAGCACCGGCCCCACGUGUUGGAUUUUUUAAUGCAGAUUAAUUUUUUCUCAUUGUCCCUUUGGUAAGCCUCCUCCCUCCCCAUCUCCUUUCCUGAGACCUCACCUCCACUAUAACCUUAUCAGACCAGCAUAAUCUUUGCAUAUUUUGAAUCCUUCCACAUAAAAUCCUAGAUAAGUAUAUCUAUAUGUUCCCAUGCAUAAUUUUUUUGAGAUAUCCUCAAAGAAAAACAGGAUCAUAUUAUAUACUCUUUCUUCACAUUUUUCAUUUUAAUUGCGAAUGUCUCAGGAGAAUUCCUCCAGUUUUCUGCUUCUGUUAUGGUAUGGAUGUACCAUGACCUACUUUGUUUUCAAUUUCCUGCUACAUUGCACAGUGCUGAUAUAAACUCAUGGACCCAUAUCCCUGUGUACCUGGGCUUUAAUUUUUAUCAGUAGAUUUCCAAAUGUAAGAAAUCUGAGUAGAAGGUGAUGUGGGAAAGCUUAGAUAAUUUUGAGUCCCUGAGCUGGAAGCCACUCCUCCUUCGCUCUGAAUUGCCACGUUCAUCUACCUGUCAAUCAGAGGACCCCUCUCCAGGAAAUACCUCCUCUUACCAGGGGCAUGGGGGGGGGUACCACGUAAACACUUCCGGUUUUCUAAGCUUAUGGUGAAGCUAGGCCCAGUGGAAGCACUCACUCCUCUUCGUUGACUCCAGAUGGUAUGAUAAUUUCUUUCUUUCUUUCUUUCUUUCUUUCUUUCUUUCUUUCUUUCUUU
Long non-coding RNA from Oryctolagus cuniculus (rabbit), 7480 nucleotides. RefSeq lists it as uncharacterized. NCBI's taxonomy places the organism in Eukaryota, Metazoa, Chordata, Mammalia, Lagomorpha, Leporidae. The record is from RefSeq and is a predicted model, not a curated record.